GGACACGAGGGCAAUCCAGCUGUGGCAUCUGUCACCCCUGACACUGGGCUGACUCAGCUGACCUGGCUGGGUAGGCGCGUGUACCCCUCCUCCCUUGCGGCUCUAUGCGUGUGCCCCUCCCGAAGCUGCGCCCCUGGAUGGAAGCUGCGCCCCUGGAUGGAGAGGGACCGCGUCCUCAGAAGUAUACAAGCCGCUGCACUCCCCUGCUAGGACCUCCAAACAAGCUCCUAAGUUUGCAUUAUUUUUCCAUUUGAGAUCUGCUUUGAUCUAGGCAUUAACUGGAGACUCAGCUUUGCU
This 297-nucleotide small nuclear RNA is filed under the name Octodon degus (degu). RNAcentral's name for it is "7SK RNA (ENSODEG00000024156.1)". It matches the Rfam family "7SK RNA". Rfam says of the family: 7SK was discovered as an abundant small nuclear RNA in the mid-70s but a possible function has only recently been suggested. Lineage: Eukaryota; Metazoa; Chordata; Mammalia; Rodentia; Octodontidae. The record is from RNAcentral.